GACGAACGCUGGCGGCGUGCUUAACACAUGCAAGUCGAACGGAAAGGCCCUGCUUUUGUGGGGUGCUCGAGUGGCGAACGGGUGAGUAACACGUGAGUAACCUGCCCUUGACUUUGGGAUAACUUCAGGAAACUGGGGCUAAUACCGGAUAGGAGCUCCUGCUGCAUGGUGGGGGUUGGAAAGUUUCGGCGGUUGGGGAUGGACUCGCGGCUUAUCAGCUUGUUGGUGGGGUAGUGGCUUACCAAGGCUUUGACGGGUAGCCGGCCUGAGAGGGUGACCGGCCACAUUGGGACUGAGAUACGGCCCAGACUCCUACGGGAGGCAACAGGGGGGAAUAUUGCACAAUGGGCGGGAGCCUGAUGCAGCAACGCCGCGUGCGGGAUGACGGCCUUCGGGUUGUAAACCGCUUUCGCCUGUGACGAAGCGUGAGUGACGGUAAUGGGUAAAGAAGCACCGGCUAACUACGUG
This 468-nucleotide ribosomal RNA is filed under the name uncultured bacterium. RNAcentral's name for it is "partial 16S ribosomal RNA". It matches the Rfam family "Bacterial small subunit ribosomal RNA", at positions 28 to 507 of the family's 1533-position model. The record is from RNAcentral.